Molecule: ribosomal RNA, 484 nt
Filed under: uncultured bacterium
Lineage: Bacteria
Description: partial 16S ribosomal RNA
Rfam family: Bacterial small subunit ribosomal RNA
Source: RNAcentral
AUUGAACGCUGGCGGCAGGCCUAACACAUGCAAGUCGAGCGGAUGAAGGGAGCUUGCUCCUGGAUUCAGCGGCGGACGGGUGAGUAAUGCCUAGGAAUCUGCCUGGUAGUGGGGGAUAACGUCCGGAAACGGGCGCUAAUACCGCAUACGUCCUGAGGGAGAAAGUGGGGGAUCUUCGGACCUCACGCUAUCAGAUGAGCCUAGGUCGGAUUAGCUAGUUGGUGGGGUAAAGGCCUACCAAGGCGACGAUCCGUAACUGGUCUGAGAGGAUGAUCAGUCACACUGGAACUGAGACACGGUCCAGACUCCUACGGGAGGCAGCAGUGGGGAAUAUCGGACAAUGGGCGAAAGCCUGAUCCAGCCAUGCCGCGCGUGUGAAGAAGGUCUUCGGAUUGUAAAGCACUUUAAGUUGGGAGGAAGGGCAGUAAGUUAAUACCUUGCUGUUUUGACGUUACCAACAGAAUAAGCACCGGCUAACUUCGUG